This 373-nucleotide ribosomal RNA is filed under the name uncultured organism. RNAcentral describes it as "bacterial SSU rRNA". It matches the Rfam family "Bacterial small subunit ribosomal RNA", at positions 526 to 896 of the family's 1533-position model. The record is from RNAcentral.
CAGAGACUGCAAGCGUUAUUCGGAUUCACUGGGCGUAAAGGGUGCGCAGGCGGUUGGGUGUGUCAGAUGUGAAAUCCCGAGGCUUAACCUCGGAACUGCGUCUGAAACUACUCGACUAGAGUACUGGAGAGGGAAACGGAAUUCACGGUGUAGCAGUGAAAUGCGUAGAUAUCGUGAGGAACACCAGAGGCGAAGGCGGUUUCCUGGACAGUUACUGACGCUCAGGCACGAAAGCAUGGGGAGCAAAAGGGAUUAGAUACCCCCUGUAGUCCAUGCCCUAAACGGUGCACACUAGGUCUUAGCGGAUUCGACCCCACUAGGGCCCAAGCUAACGCGUUAAGUGUGCCGCCUGAGGACUACGGUCGCAAGACUA